This 484-nucleotide ribosomal RNA is filed under the name uncultured bacterium. RNAcentral describes it as "partial 16S ribosomal RNA". It matches the Rfam family "Bacterial small subunit ribosomal RNA", at positions 28 to 523 of the family's 1533-position model. The record is from RNAcentral.
GACGAACGCUGGCGGCGUGCUUAACACAUGCAAGUCGAACGAUGAAGCUAGAGCUUGCUCUGGUGAAUUAGUGGCGAACGGGUGAGUAACACGUGAGUAACCUGCCCCGAACUCUGGGAUAACUGCUGGAAACGGUAGCUAAUACUGGAUACGACCUACGAAGGCAUCUUCUGUAGGUGGAAAGAAUUUCGGUUCGGGAUGGACUCGCGGCCUAUCAGCUUGUUGGUGAGGUAAUGGCUCACUAAGGCGACGACGGGUAGCCGGCCUGAGAGGGUGACCGGCCACACUGGGACUGAGACACGGCCCAGACUCCUACGGGAGGCAGCAGUGGGGAAUACUGCACAAUGGGCGCAAGCCUGAUGCAGCAACGCCGCGUGAGGGAUGACGGCCUUCGGGUUGUAAACCUCUUUUAGUAGGGAAGAAGCGAAAGUGACGGUACCUGCAGAAAAAGCACCGGCUAACUACGUGCCAGCAGCCGCGGUAA